Colius striatus (speckled mousebird) is the source of this 3635-nucleotide long non-coding RNA. RefSeq lists it as uncharacterized. The record is from RefSeq and is a predicted model, not a curated record. NCBI's taxonomy places the organism in Eukaryota, Metazoa, Chordata, Aves, Coliiformes, Coliidae. The transcript is spliced from 6 exons.
UUAGAAGCACUGGCAUGAAGUUACAAAACUUCAUAUAUAUUUCAUUAUUUGAUGACAUUGUCAUCAACCACAAAAACUCCUAAGAAAUGAUAAUAAUUACGUGUACUCAGCUACAUUUUCUCUAAAAAUUUCCACAUGCUCUGAGUGUGGGAGAACUGACUCAUUCUUUAUAAGUAGAACACAGUAUAAAUCCUGCUAAUUAUUUGUGCUGAGCGUGGUAUCUACAAUUCAUCUAUUAUUUGAGUUACAAGGCUCUGGUUCUUUUUUAGUAAAGAUUACAGCUGGGUAUGCUACAGGCACUCUGCAAGAUCUUGAGAAAUCACGUUCCAGAAUGGGUUAGAAAUACUUUAAAUGUACUUUUGUUCAACACAUUUUAACACUCUUCUUUGGAUAUACACCCCAUGAAAUGAAAUAAACUCAAAAAAAGACAAAAAAAGAAAGUCCCAGCUACAGCUGGAGUUCAGAAAAAGAUAAAAUCCAUCAUUAAGAAAUAUCAUGUGUUGUUAAAGGAUUCUUUGAAGGAGUGGAAGUGAUUUCCCUGCCGUUUAUUAAUCCUCUAUUAUCAAAAGCCAUGUUCCAGAAUAACUCUUAGGAUUAGCUAACAGGUUGUUAAUUAGUAGUCACUAUUAUAAAAAAAUUAAAGACAAGGGAAUAACAACUCAACAGGAACCACGACACAUGAUAGACCUCAUUCAGACCAUUUAAAUGAUCUGUGUUGAGAAUACUGCCCAUGCCCAGAUCUGCCAUGAAUCUGCCCAAUUCCACCACUGAACCAACCACAGCAUAAAAAUUUAUUCGUAGCAGCAAGUGUUUGUAUAAGCUAAGAAAAAAUGGCAAUAAAAUGGGAAGAAGAAAGGAAAAUGGAGAUGAGGAAAGCAGCAAACGAGAUGACGCAAAUUACAUCAAGCUUGAAAGAACUUGUCAAGGCCUUAUCCUAGAUCAGUUCCUGUAGAUAGCUGAUCUGCUCCACCUUUCUGAUCAACUAAAAUGAAUCCUGCUGGAUUUCAGUCCAUUUGCAUCCAGACCUAUGUAUGUGUCUGGCUGUCUCUAGGAUAUACAUUGGGAAACUAAUAGAAAGUACUCAAUGGCAUCAGUCAGAUAAGAUAUGUGAACCUGAUAAGUUCAUUUUAAGGAUACCAUUACAAAACUGAGCUCUGCAAUCAGCAGUAAUAGGAAGAAUUAAGAAUGGGAACAGACUGCAUGUAAGAAUCAAAAAUUCCUGCCAAUCCUCUAGAAAAAAUUAUCUGCAAAGAAGCUGCUGUGUGCCUUGAGAUAUUUACAGACAGCACCAAGGGAAAAACCCAAAGAAAUCUGCUAACAAAAGUACCUUGGAGAUUAAGUGUACCUGAAGAGAUGGACUGGAGGAGAGUUCAGCAGGUUUCCACAAACCUCAGAGGCCUGGCUACAAGGACACUUGUACUGCAGAGACCCUGAUACAGGAGGUGUGACAACAAUCUGACUCUCACGGGGCAGUUCUGCAGGGCUUCCAAGAAACAGGGUUCCCAUCAGCAACCCAGGCAUUGCCUGAAGAGGACAAUUUGAAUGCUCAAGACAAUACAGACCUUAGACAUGUGUGCCUGCUCUGUAAAAAACAUUUCCCUACUGUACAACUGUAUUUGAAGAGGCUUUGGGUAACAGACAUUUGCAUUGCUGGCAAAGUGGAGAACCUGGGAUGAACCAAUUCUUGCUCUUGACAGAUUCCACUACUCCCUACCCAAGGGUACUUGAGAGGGCAAGUGUUGCAUGACCUCUUCUGCCUAUGGAUAUGACAGUCGACACAGGACGAGAAAGUUAGCAGCAUUGAAUGGCUGCAGACAGACUGAAACUGUGAUCCAGAUGAAGUCAGCAUCAGUUCUGCCACUGGCAAUGAUUUUGCUGCAUCUGGAUGCCUCAAACAUUUGCACCAUCUGUUACUGCUUCUCUGCAACAAAAAAAUCCCUCCCUCAUCUGACGUUCACAUCAGCAAAGAGCUGUUGUCUCUCUCCAUUCUAGCCUUUCCACACAACUUCUGAAGGCAAAAAUGAUCUUUCACUAGGCCAGAAUACUAUCCUGUACAUUGAAUGGUGCCUAACUUGCCCUGGGACAUCACCAAUAGGUUUUUCACAGGGUUAAUGAUUUUGGGAAGCUCUGAAAAGCAUUAACACGGACAGCAAGAAAUACAGAACUAAGUUCAUGGCAAUGGAAGUCAAGAGUCUCAUGAGACUGUCCUAAGUGCAGCUGUCCCAGGAAAAGGGCAUUCACCCCAUCACAGAGAAGGAAAAAAAUAAUCAGACCUUGGCUUAUGAAAGGUGACAAAUUUAAAUAGAAGAAACAUUAUACUUCCUGUUCAAAUAACUGCAUGGAUCAGUACAAACCCUGUACUGAAGGACAGAAGUUGGCUGUGGUUACAAAUGGGGAGUAAAUGCACUCUUUGACACUGCCUCCUACAAUAUAUCAGGAAAUAAAAAGGCCUGUUGAAAACAAUUUUCCCUGCCAGGUAUCUUCAAUGGCCCACUUUUAAUGAGAUUAUCAAAACAGUUAUUUCACAAGAUACUAGAAAUUCAACAGAUUUAUGGGGAAUGGUAACAAUAGAUCAAUUGGUUCAUUAGAAAAACAAACAAGCUUUUAAAUGAGUCCUUCAAGCAGAAGCCACUAACAACACUAAGGAGAGGCUAGAGAAGCUAUUCUGAGCUUACAUUUAUGCUCAGAAACCCACCUUUUUUUAAAGGCUUAUAUUAAUUUUCUUGUGUAGGGUAACUUUCUGCUCAUUUCAAGGCCUAAGCAGCAUCACCAAACUUUCUUCUGCACAGGCUUCUCCUUCCUCCCUCUUCUAAAAGGACAAAUUGUUGUGAAGAAUAGAGUUCAAGCAUUGCUAUUCCUGUCCAGCUGAAGGCAGAAGCCAAACAGGAGAAGGUUGCUGUGUUAUGAGAUGUAGAUUAGAGGGGAAAACCAGCAACCUUUAUCAGGUCAUGCAAGUUAAAUAGGAAGAAACUGGCUCAUGAUACUUAAUAUGCUGCAUAUCCAGGAAUGCCCUGCAAAUAUUAACUAAUCCUCAGAAAACCCUUGAGAGAUAGGUUAAUAUAAACCAUUUAUAUGUGUGCAAGCAAACAGAGAUAUCAUCCAGAGCCUGCCUGUGUGCUUCGUUAGUGAUUCAGGAACUGCACUAGUUCAAUCAAAUGUCAUCUAACGCUCUCCACUCCUUCUGACUUCAGUGUUAGAAGAAAGCACAAUCAAUAUCAUGUUGAAGGUUCAAGCAUGGCCCAACCCUGUCAGACAAGCUGGGACCCAGAAUUUCUUGGAAUCCUGUGCAGGGAGGAGCGUAAUUUUAAAAGACUGGGAUGAGAAGCUAAGAAAAAGGCUGGCCAUUUCAGCACAGCUUUGGAAAUUUGGGGACUGGUCCAGGUGUGAAUCAGUAAAAUUUGUGUGUGGCAUUCACAUAGACACCAAAAAAGUUAUCCAGUUAGAGAAUUCUCACCAACAAAACUGAUAAGCUAAAAGGCAUAUUCCCAUUAAAAGCAUGUCCUCCUUGUGUGUUUAAUCCAGGAAUUUUAUACAACACUUCGAUAGCUAAAUUUAUACCCUUAUGUUUUGUCUCCUCAGUUUUAGUUUUCCUGUUUACUAAGGAAAAAAAAUCCUUAUUUAAGCUGGUAAGCACA